Non-coding RNA from Saimiri boliviensis boliviensis (Bolivian squirrel monkey), 848 nucleotides. NCBI's taxonomy places the organism in Eukaryota, Metazoa, Chordata, Mammalia, Primates, Cebidae. The record is from RefSeq and is a predicted model, not a curated record.
UAAAGUGGUGGGAUUACAAGCUUGAGCCACCGUGCCCAGCCCCCUUUUGUCUACUUACUCAUCCUCCAAAGUGCAGCUGAGGGGUCACCAGCUUCAGAAAGCUUUUCCCGACCCUCUCCCAACAGGCUAAAUGAGGUGCCCCUUCUUUUAGCUCCAUAGCACUCUGUGUUUCCUUUAUCAUAACACUUUGCUGUUACUGUUUUUACAGGCAUAUUUUGAAGACAUUGUGAGUUCAAUUCCAGACCACUGCAAUAAAGCAAAUAUGGCAAUACGGACCCUCUAUGAUGUGGUGGGUGUCCGAGAGUUUGAGGACCACUGAUCUGGACCGGAACUUGGUGGCCAGAGGACGCAGAGAGAGACUUUAAAAGGCGAUCCGCCAGCUGCCGUGUCCCCGCUCUGACCAGCCACUGGGCCAUGCAUCUGUCCUUCCGAAGCCAUGGAAGUCAAACCAGGGAAGCCUUCCCACAGCUUGCUGCUCCAAUCCAUGGCAGAUGGACAACCCCCAAGGGCAUUACAACCAUGGCACGAGGAUACCCUUGGUCCAGAGAUUCUAUCUGAACCUGCCUGUUGCCCCAUGGUGGCUUCUGGUGGACUUCUGGGCCUCCCCUGCACGUGGUGUGUGCUGUGACUCACUCCUCCUAAGGCCCUGCUGCGUGAAAGCUGAGGGACACCCAUCGGCAACUUUGAAGAGGCUCCUUCCGUGGAGACCCUCAUCUCUGCCCUGCCCCACAACACCGUCACUCGCCUCCUGUGGGCAGAGGCUCCCUGGAGGGUCUCCAUCAAUGAACCCACUGGGACCCCUUCUCUCUAAGUGUGUCACCUUGGGCAAUCAUCAUCAAAUAAGAGUC